AGAGUUUGAUUCUGGCUCAGGACGAACGCUGGCGGCGCGCCUAACACAUGCAAGUCGAACGAGCGAGAGAGAGCUUGCUUUCUCGAGCGAGUGGCGAACGGGUGAGUAACGCGUGAGGAACCUGCCUCAAAGAGGGGGACAACAGUUGGAAACGACUGCUAAUACCGCAUAAGCCCACAGCUCGGCAUCGAGCAGAGGGAAAAGGAGCAAUCCGCUUUGAGAUGGCCUCGCGUCCGAUUAGCUAGUUGGUGAGGUAACGGCCCACCAAGGCGACGAUCGGUAGCCGGACUGAGAGGUUGAACGGCCACAUUGGGACUGAGACACGGCCCAGACUCCUACGGGAGGCAGCAGUGGGGAAUAUUGCACAAUGGGGGAAACCCUGAUGCAGCGACGCCGCGUGGAGGAAGAAGGUCUUCGGAUUGUAAACUCCUGUUGUUGGGGAAGAUAAUGACGGUACCCAACAAGGAAGUGACGGCUAACUACGUGCCAGCAGCCGCGGUAAAACGUAGGUCACAAGCGUUGUCCGGAAUUACUGGGUGUAAAGGGAGCGCAGGCGGGAAGACAAGUUGGAAGUGAAAUCUAUGGGCUCAACCCAUAAACUGCUUUCAAAACUGUUUUUCUUGAGUAGUGCAGAGGUAGGCGGAAUUCCCGGUGUAGCGGUGGAAUGCGUAGAUAUCGGGAGGAACACCAGUGGCGAAGGCGGCCUACUGGGCACCAACUGACGCUGAGGCUCGAAAGUGUGGGUAGCAAACAGGAUUAGAUACCCUGGUAGUCCACACCGUAAA
RNAcentral lists this ribosomal RNA (785 nucleotides) under uncultured bacterium. RNAcentral describes it as "bacterial SSU rRNA". It matches the Rfam family "Bacterial small subunit ribosomal RNA", at positions 8 to 806 of the family's 1533-position model. The record is from RNAcentral.